GGAUGUGAGGGCGAUCUGGCUGGGACACCUGUCACCCUGUGGAUCGCCAGGGUUGAUUCGGCUGAUCUGGCUGGGUAGGUGGGUGUCCCCUUCCUCCCUCGCUGCUCCAUGUGCGUCCCUCCCAAAGCUGCACACUCGGAUGAAGAGGAAGAACUUCCACGCUGAAAGAGGACCGGUCUUCGGUCAAGGGUAUACGAGUAGCUGCGCUCCCCUGCUAGAACCUCCAAACAAGCUCUCAGUCGUAGCUAAGCACUAGUUUAACAGUAUGUGAAAAGCACUAAUGUUUAUAGGUGAAAUAUAAGGCAUU
Molecule: small nuclear RNA, 307 nt
Filed under: Oryctolagus cuniculus (rabbit)
Lineage: Eukaryota; Metazoa; Chordata; Mammalia; Lagomorpha; Leporidae
Description: 7SK RNA
Rfam family: 7SK RNA
About the family: 7SK was discovered as an abundant small nuclear RNA in the mid-70s but a possible function has only recently been suggested.
Source: Rfam by way of RNAcentral